AAGAGAAGCAGCUGGAUUAAAAGCUAGUGUGAACACACUGAUGUCUGAAAUACAGCGUUUAAAUAAAUUGUGCGCGGAGAGAAAAGAAGCUGAAGAUUCUUUGAGAAAGAAAUGGAAGAAGAUUGAAGAGUUUGAUGCUCGCAGAUCAGAGCUGGAAUCCAUUUAUAGUGCCUUACUAAAGGCAAGCAUGGAUGCUGCAGCAUUUUGGGGUCAGCAGCCAUUAGCUGCAAAGGAGUAUUCAUCGAGUACUA
This 251-nucleotide unclassified non-coding RNA is filed under the name Hevea brasiliensis (rubber tree). The record is from RNAcentral. Lineage: Eukaryota; Viridiplantae; Streptophyta; Magnoliopsida; Malpighiales; Euphorbiaceae.